UGAUUGAUCAUCAUCUUCUAGUGCAAUUUUUUUAAUGUUCUAAACCAAACCAAUCGAUCGCCAUCCGUCACGAUGCGUAUAAUACGCGUCGGAUAAGCCGCUGCAAAGUUAUAAUAGUAACUGCCAAAGAAAGUAUUCCAUUCAUUGUUGAUCAGUCUUUGAAAUAAUUUAUGAGGGAUCAAUGUUUAACACGAUGUUUAGAACAAACCAUUCACGUGUUUUCAAAAGCUAGCUGCCUGCUGAUAUGCUUUCAAUGCUUGUGGUCUAAAGCGAUCAAAUUGGACGCCCACAGUCUGCCUCAAAGUUUCAAAUUCGCUAUUUUGAAAUGCAACUACCAGCCAUUUUGAAUUUAGCUAAAUAUAAUCCUUUUUAUAUAUAAUAAAACUCGCAUGUAAAUUAAAGUUAUCUCUCAUCACAUUUAUUAUUAUUUCUCUGUC
This 437-nucleotide long non-coding RNA is filed under the name Glycine max (soybean). RNAcentral's name for it is "long non-coding RNA (GMAX_LNC004025)". The record is from RNAcentral. Lineage: Eukaryota; Viridiplantae; Streptophyta; Magnoliopsida; Fabales; Fabaceae.